UUAUAUACAACCUCAACUCAUAUGGGACUACCCCCUGAAUUUAAGCAUAUUAAUUAGGGGAGGAAAAGAAACUAACAAGGAUUUUCUUAGUAGCGGCGAGCGAAAAGAAAACAGUUCAGCACUAAGUCACUUUGUCUAUAUGGCAAAUGUGAGAUGCAGUGUAUGGAGCGUCAAUAUUCUAGUAUGAGAAAUUAACGAUUUAAGUCCUUCUUAAAUGAGGCCAUUUACCCAUAGAGGGUGCCAGGCCCGUAUAACGUUAAUGAUUACUAGAUGAUGUUUCCAAAGAGUCGUGUUGCUUGAUAGUGCAGCACUAAGUGGGUGGUAAACUCCAUCUAAAACUAAAUAUAACCAUGAGACCGAUAGUAAACAAGUACCGUGAGGGAAAGUUGAAAAGAACUCUGAAUAGAGAGUUAAACAGUACGUGAAACUGCUUAGAGGUUAAGCCCGAUGAACCUGAAUAUCCGUUAUGGAAAAUUCAUCAUUAAAAUUGUAAUAUUUAAAUAAUAUUAUGAGGAUAGUGUGCAUUUUUUCCAUAUAAGGACAUUGUAAUCUAUUAGCAUAUACCAAAUUUAUCAUAAAAUAUAACUUAUAGUUUAUUCCAAUUAAAUUGCUUGCAUUUUAACACAGAAUAAAUGUUAUUAAUUUGAUAAAGUGCUGAUAGAUUAAUAUGAUUACAGUGCGUUAAUUUUUCGGAAUUAUAUAAUGGCAUAAUUAUCAUUGAUUUUUGUGUUUAUUAUAUGCACUUGUAUGAUUAACAAUGCGAAAGAUUCAGGAUACCUUCGGGACCCGUCUUGAAAACACGGACCAAGGAGUCUAACAUAUGUGCAAGUUAUUGGGAUAUAAACCUUAAUAGCGUAAUUAACUUGACUAAUAAUGGGAUUAGGUUUUUUAACUAUUUAUAGCUAAUUAACACAAUCCCGGGGCGUUCUAUAUAGUUAUGUAUAAUGUAUAUUUAUAUUAUUUAUGCCUCUAACUGGAACGUACCUUGAGCAUAUAUGCUGUGACCCGAAAGAUGGUGAACUAUACUUGAUCAGGUUGAAGUCACGGGAAACCCUGAUGGAAGACCGAAACAGUUCUGACGUGCAAAUCGAUUGUCAGAAUUGAGUAUAGGGGCGAAAGACCAAUCGAACCAUCUAGUAGCUGGUUCCUUCCGAAGUUUUCCUCAGGAUAGCUGGUGCAUUUUAAUAUUAUAUAAAAUAAUCUUAUCUGGUAAAGCGAAUGAUUAGAGGCCUUAGGGUCGAAACGAUCUUAACCUAUUCUCAAACUUUAAAUGGGUAAGAACCUUAACUUUCUUGAUAUGAAGUUCAAGGUUAUGAUAUAAUGUGCCCAGUGGGCCACUUUUGGUAAGCAGAACUGGCGCUGUGGGAUGAACCAAACGUAAUGUUACGGUGCCCAAAUUAACAACUCAUGCAGAUACCAUGAAAGGCGUUGGUUGCUUAAAACAGCAGGACGGUGAUCAUAGAAGUCGAAAUCCGCUAAGGACUGUGUAACAACUCACCUGCCGAAGCAACUAGCCCUUAAAAUGGAUGGCGCUUAAGUUUUAUACCUAUACGUUACCGCUAAAGUAGAUGAUUUAUAUUACUUGUGAUAUAAAUUUUGAAACUUUAGUGAGUAGGAAGGUACAAUGGUAUGCGUAGAAGUGUUUGGCGUAAGGUGGUAGUAGCAAAUAAUCGAAUGAGACAUUGGAGGACUGAAGUGGAGAAGGGUUUCGUGUGAAUAGUGGUUGAUCACGAGUUAGUCGGUCAUAAGUUCAAGGCGAAAGCCGAUAAUUUUCAAGUAAAACAAAAAUGCCAAAUUAUAUAAACAAAGCGAAAAUAAUACACUUGAAUAAUUUUGAACGAAAGGGAAUAUGGUUCCCAUUCCGUAACCUGUUGAGUAUCCGUUUGUUAUUAAAUAUGGGCCUCGUGCUCAUCCUGGCAACAGGAACGACCAUAAAGAAGCCGUCGAGAGAUAUCGGAAGAGUUUUCUUUUCUGUUUUAUAGCCGUACUACCAUGGAAGUCUUUCGCAGAGAGAUAUGGUAGAUGGGCUAGAAGAGCAUGACAUAUACUGUUGUGUCGAUAUUUUCUCCUCGGACCUUGAAAAUUUAUGGUGGGGACACGCAAACUUCUCAACAGGCCGUACCAAUAUCGGCAGCUGGUCUCCAAGGGUAAGUGUCUAUGUCGAUAGAAUAAUGUAGGUAAGAAAAGUCGGCAAAUUAGAUCCGUAACUUCGGGAUAAGGAUUGGCUCUGAAUAUUGAGAUAGUCGGGCUUGAUUGGGAAACAAUAACAUGGUUUAUGUGCUCGUUAUGGGUAAAUAGAGUUUCUAGCAUUUAUGUUAGUUAUGGUAUGUAUUAUGUUUUUUCGCCGGCCGAAGAGCAGUAAUCCGAAGCAGUGAAUGUGCCGGUAACUAGAGGUUGCCCGCAGGGGUCAAUCAGCGGCCCAUUUUAUUUGGGACAUGCUGAUGGAUGUACUGCUUCAGCGCCUCGAGCCGUAUUGCCUGCUAAGUGCAUACGCGGAUGACCAGCUUCUCCUGAUCGAUGGAAAUUCCCGAGCCGUGCUAAAGGAAAAAGGAGAGCAACUGAUGUCCAUCGUUGAAACGUGGGGAGCGGAAAUAGGCGUAAUAAUGCUGCUCAAAGGUGCCUUGAAACGUGCGCCUACGGUAAGAUUCGCUGGAGAGAACCUUCAAGGACAUUGCCAGGUAGGGGUUUGACUGGGGCGGUAUAUCUCUCAAAUAAUAACGGAGGUGUCCCAAGGCCAGCUCUGUGCGGACAGAAACCAAACAUAGAGCAAUAGGGCAAAUGCUGACUUGAUCUCGGUGUUCAGUACACACAGGGACAGCAAAAGCUCGGCCUAUCGAUCCUUUUGGUUUAAAGAGUUUUUAACAAGAGGUGUAAGAAAAAGAAAACUUACCAUAGGGAUAACUGGCUUGUGGCGGCCAAGCGUUCAUAGCGACGUCGCUUUUGAUUGAUGUCAACUCUUCCUAUCAUUGGGAAGCAAAAUUCACCAAGCGUUGGAAGGGAACCAUGAAAGGGAACGUGAGCUGGUUUAGUUAGUUAGUUAGUUAGUAGACAGGUUAGUUUUACCCUACUAAUGACAAAACGUUGUUGCGACAACAUUCCUGCGUAGUACGAGAGCAACCGCAGGUACGGACCCAUGGCACAAGACUUGUUUGAGCGAACAGUGGUAUGACGCUACGUCCGUUGGAUUACGCCUGAACGCCUCUAAGGUCGUAUCCGUGCUGGACUGCGAUGAUAAAUAAGGGGCAAUUUGCAUUGUAUGGCUUCUAAGCCAUUUAAAGUUUAUAAUUUACUUUAUAAACGGCAAUGGAUGUGAUGCCAAUGUAAUUUGUAACAUAGUAAAUUGGGAGGAUCUUCAAUCACCUGAUGCCGCGCUAGUUACAUAUAAAAGCAUUAUUUAAUAUAAUGACAAAGCCUAGAAUCAAUUGUAAACGACUUUUGCAACAGGCAAGGUGUUGUAAGUGGUUGAGCAGCUGCCAUACUGCGAUCCACUGAAGCUUAUCCUUUGCUUGAUGAUUCGA
Molecule: ribosomal RNA, 3518 nt
Filed under: Drosophila erecta
Lineage: Eukaryota; Metazoa; Arthropoda; Insecta; Diptera; Drosophilidae
Description: 28S ribosomal RNA
Rfam family: Eukaryotic large subunit ribosomal RNA
Source: RNAcentral